RNAcentral lists this long non-coding RNA (550 nucleotides) under Capsella rubella. RNAcentral's name for it is "long non-coding RNA (CRUB_LNC004360)". Lineage: Eukaryota; Viridiplantae; Streptophyta; Magnoliopsida; Brassicales; Brassicaceae. The record is from RNAcentral.
AUGAUCAUCACUGUUUGGCUUCUUUAUGCAGCACCUAACAUCCAUGGCUGGGGAAAAGAAGGUCAUGAAAUCACCUGUAAAAUCGCGCAGGUUUUGAUUUAUUCAUCUUCUUUCGUCUUUUAGUUUUGAAUCAAAAUAUGUAAAACUAAUAAGUUAAGGAGAAGAACAGGCUAGAUUGGAUGAAACUGCAGCGAAGGCGGUGAGAGAGCUGUUACCUGAAUCUGCAGAAGGGGAUCUGUCGAGCUUGUGUCUAUGGGCUGAUCAUGUCAAGUUUAGAUACCACUGGUCUUCUCCUCUUCACUACAUCAACACUCCUGAUGUUUGUUCCUACCAAUACAAUAGUAAGUGUUUUCAUAAGACACUUCUUACAAAAUCAUCAAAAACCAUAAGUGAGAAGGUUCCAAAAAACUACAGUGUAUAAUGGAUUUUGUCUUCUUUUCUGUCUGAAGGGGACUGCAAGGACGAAGAUGGAGAGAAAGGAAGAUGUGUUGCAGGAGCCAUUUACAAUUACACCACACAGCUUCUUUCCUACACCACUGCUGCUUCAUCU